RNAcentral lists this ribosomal RNA (253 nucleotides) under uncultured bacterium. RNAcentral's name for it is "partial 16S ribosomal RNA". It matches the Rfam family "Bacterial small subunit ribosomal RNA", at positions 524 to 776 of the family's 1533-position model. The record is from RNAcentral.
UACGAAGGGGGCUAGCGUUGCUCGGAAUUACUGGGCGUAAAGCGCACGUAGGCGGCUUCUUAAGUCGGUGGUGAAAUCCUGGAGCUCAACUCCAGAACUGCCUUCGAUACUGGGAAGCUCGAGUCCGGGAGAGGUGAGUGGAACUGCGAGUGUAGAGGUGAAAUUCGUAGAUAUUCGCAAGAACACCAGGGGCGAAGGCGGCUCACGGGCCCGGUACUGACGCGGAGGUGCGAAAGCUAGGGGAGCAAACAGG